Hippocampus zosterae (dwarf seahorse) is the source of this 524-nucleotide long non-coding RNA. RefSeq lists it as uncharacterized. The record is from RefSeq and is a predicted model, not a curated record. NCBI's taxonomy places the organism in Eukaryota, Metazoa, Chordata, Actinopteri, Syngnathiformes, Syngnathidae. The transcript is spliced from 3 exons.
GAGUGCUUCCGGUCUUGUCUUUCGAAGUUUUCAAGACCGCGACUGAAAUUGUGAGAAAUGGUUGGAAAACGAGAGCUAGCAAUUAAGAACUCUCUGACGAAGGGUUGGACCAGACGAGGCUCUUCGGUGACCAGGACGUUCUCAGAGUUGCACUGCACCGCCGCCAGCGUCCAGUUGAGGGAGCCUGUGAUGAGGCGUCGGCCGUCCACCAGGGCGAACUUGUGAUGCAUGUGCACAUAGCGGCCCACGUUGCGCACGCAGAUCCCUGUGGAGGAGGAGGAGAGUGAGGAAUGACAGAAUUUCAAUGUAUUAUGGAUGAACUGGUCUGCUCUGGAAACAAUCGGAGAGAACAAAGUUGGAAAAAGAAAGUGAAAUGGUGAUAUCGAUCCUACAUACAGAACUCAUUUGGCUGAGACUCCACACCCAAGAGUAUAAAGGUACAAAACAGCCCUGCAUAGGUCCAUGUUGGAAAAAGAAAACAAACACAAGUCCAGAGAGGAGGACGCUGACAGGAUGAAGCGAAG